GGGAGUGAUUGCACCAAUUGCAAUUGGUUUCAUUGUUGGUGCCAACAUUCUAGCUGGUGGAGCCUUUACUGGAGCUUCAAUGAACCCAGCUGUGUCAUUUGGCCCAUCUUUGAUUAGCUGGACCUGGACUCACCAAUGGGUUUACUGGGCUGGACCACUUAUUGGUGGUGGGCUUGCUGGAUUUAUCUAUGAAUUCAUCUUCAUUAGCCACACUCAUGAGCAAAUCCCAAGUGGAGAUUUUUAAGUAAUGUGACAUUUUAUCAACUUGUUGUUU
Molecule: long non-coding RNA, 274 nt
Filed under: Solanum tuberosum (potato)
Lineage: Eukaryota; Viridiplantae; Streptophyta; Magnoliopsida; Solanales; Solanaceae
Description: long non-coding RNA (STUB_LNC006846)
Source: RNAcentral